Molecule: long non-coding RNA, 1672 nt
Organism: Dreissena polymorpha
Lineage: Eukaryota; Metazoa; Mollusca; Bivalvia; Myida; Dreissenidae
Exons: 2
Source: RefSeq, a predicted model, not a curated record
UAACAAUUGUAUAAAAUUGCAAUUGUCUCUAUUUGUAAUAAUAAAGAGCAAUAUUAUUUGCUUAAAAAAUAAAGCUGUCUGCUUUGUAAAUUAAUAAUUGUGUUUACAUCUCAACAUAACACGUAAAUACAUUAAAGUCUAAAAGGAUUUUUUGGAAUAAACACUUAAAUAAAUAUAUGUGCGUGUAUACGCUGAUAAAAAAAAUUUACAUUUCAUUUAGUUUUGUAACAGCGCAUUUGACCUUUCACGUUGACCAUCCCACACUUGCUGUCAGUGCAGUGCCUUCAUUAGGGUCAUUUUUAUGCUCCUGGUAGGGUGGCAUAUAGCAGUUGAACUGUCCGUCAUCCUUCAAAGUCAAAUGUCAAAUUUAUUGCGUCUGUCCGUCCGUCCAAAACUUUAACAUUGGCCAUAACUUGUUCAAUAUUGAAGAUAGCAACUUGAUAUUUGGCAGCCAUGUGUAUCUCAUGGAGCUACACCUUUUGAGUGGUAAAAGGUCAAGGUCAUCCUUGAAGGUCAAAGGUCAAAAAAAAUAAUCAAAGUGGCGUUCCUAUGAAGCUGCACAUUGUGAGUGGUUCAAGGUCAAGGUCAUUAGUCAAGGUCAUCCUUCAAGGUCAAAGGUCAAAAAAAUAAUCCAAAGCGGCGUUCUCAUGAAGCUGCACAUUGUGAGUGGUGUGAGUUCAAGGUCAAGGCCAACCGUCAAGGUCAUCCUUCAAGGUCAAAAGUAAAAAAAAAAUUCAAAGCGGCGUCCUCAUGAAGCUGCACAUUUUGAGUGGUGGACGUUCAAGGUCAAGGUCAUCCUUCAAUGUCAAAGGUAAAAAAAAAAUCAAAGCGGCGCAAUAGGGGGCAUACUGUGUUUCUGACGAACACAUCUCUUGUUUGUAAAUAUCCCACUGUUUAAGUUCAGCAAAUGUUUUAAGACCAGAUUUCCUUAAACUUGGGGGUGUUAUUAUUUUACUUUUAUUGAAUGCAUGAAACAUGUGUGUUCCGUUGUUGAAUAGCUAAACAUAGCUUGAUGUGUGUAGAUUGUGUGACAAAUGUUGAUCAAAUUGUUACAUAGAAAAAAACACAAUCUUAGUUAACUUGUAUGUGUUAAUUACCAAACACAAAUAUAAGUAUUUUGUAACAAUAUAAGUAUUGUCUUUAUUUGAAAUACAGAAUGAAAUGCAAUUUUAAAAUCAUGUCUUUAUAUGUUCAUCUUCUCCAAAUAAGCAUUUUGAAUAAGCAAAUAUAAUAUCUCUAUGGAAAGUAUCCGUAGGCCCCAUGCAAUCGCUUGUGUACCUCAUAUUGAUCAGGGUCUUUCUAAAUUAUUUCAUGAUUGGUUAUCCUUGUCUGAAUUGUGUAAAAUCGUGAGAUAACUGUUGAGAGGAUUUCAAUAUUAAAAGUUAAAAUAGUAUCUUAGCUGUAACCGUACAUCUGUUGCAUUUAUUUUAACAUGUUUAUAUGUUCUGGCUCCCUGAGUUUUAUAUUGUUUAUAAUCUUGCAUAUUUAAUUGUGUUUUAUAAGACAAACAUCAUUAUACUGAUAAUGUUGUUUUUGUCCAACAUUUCUAUGUAUACAAGUUGUAUGUAAAUAAUUAAAUAUGUUUAUGUUGAUGAUAUGUAUUUCCCGAUCUAAGUUUGAUGUUGAACUCUCAAUAAACGACAUGUUUUGCCAAUUAAAUCCCGAAUGAUUG